RNAcentral lists this ribosomal RNA (145 nucleotides) under uncultured bacterium. RNAcentral describes it as "partial 16S ribosomal RNA". It matches the Rfam family "Bacterial small subunit ribosomal RNA", at positions 1355 to 1500 of the family's 1533-position model. The record is from RNAcentral.
UACUGCCGUGAAUACGUUCCCGGGCCUUGUACACACCGCCCGUCACACCAUGAGAGUUGGGGAUACCCAAAGCCCGUGAGCCAACUUUUAGAGGCAGCGGUCUAAGGUAGAAUCAAUGAUUGGGGUGAAGUCGUAACAAGGUACC